CCUACGGGCGGCUGCAGUGAGGAAUAUUGGUCAAUGGACGAGAGUCUGAACCAGCCAAGUAGCGUGAAGGAUGACUGCCCUAUGGGUUGUAAACUUCUUUUAUAUGGGAAUAAAAUGUUCCACGUGUGGGAUUUUGUAUGUACCAUAUGAAUAAGGAUCGGCUAACGCCGUGCAAGCAGCCGCGGUAAUACGGAGGAUCCGAGCGUUAUCCGGAUUUAUUGGGUUUAAAGGGCGCGUAGGUGGAUUGUUAAGUCGGUUGUGAAAGUUUGCGGCUCAACCGUAAAAUUGCAGUUGAUACUGGCAGUCUAGAGUAACGGAGAGGUGGGCGGAAUUCGUGGUGUAGCAGUGAAAUGCUUAGAUAUCGCGAAGAACUCUGGUGGCGAAGGCAGGUCACUGGACUGCAACUGACACUGAGGCUCGAAGGUGUGGGUAGCAAAAAGGAUUAGAUACCCGUGUAGUC
RNAcentral lists this ribosomal RNA (460 nucleotides) under uncultured bacterium. RNAcentral describes it as "partial 16S ribosomal RNA". It matches the Rfam family "Bacterial small subunit ribosomal RNA", at positions 338 to 795 of the family's 1533-position model. The record is from RNAcentral.